AGAGUUUGAUCCUGGCUCAGAAUCAACGCUGGCGGCGUGCCUCAGACAUGCAAGUCGAACGAGAAAGUUUCCUUCGGGAGAUGAGUAAAGUGGCGCACGGGUGAGUAACACGUAGGUAAUCUACCUUCGGGUGGGGAAUAACCCAGGGAAACUUGGGCUAACACCGCAUAAUGCAGCGGCACCACAUGGUGACAGUUGUUAAAGCGGGGGAUUUUCGAACCUCGCGCCUGAAGAGGAGCCUGCGGCGGAUUAGCUUGUUGGUAAGGUAACGGCUUACCAAGGCGACGAUCCGUAGCCGGCCUGAGAGGGCGGUCGGCCACACUGACACUGACAUACGGGUCAGACUCCUACGGGAGGCAGCAGUCGGGAAUUUUGGGCAAUGGGCGAAAGCCUGACCCAGCAACGCCGCGUGAAGGAUGAAAUCCUUCGGGAUGUAAACUUCGCAAGAAUGGGAAGAAUUAGUAGGGGCUAAUACCCCCUAUGAUGACGGUACCAUUUGUAAGCUCCGGCUAACUCCGUGCCAGCAGCCGCGGUAAUACGGGGGGAGCAAGCGUUGUUCGGAUUUACUGGGCGUAAAGGGCGCGUAGGCGGUCAGCACAAGUCAGUUGUGAAAUCUCCGGGCUUAACUCGGAAAGGUCAACUGAUACUGUGCGACUAGAGUGCGGAAGGGGCAACUGGAAUUCUCGGUGUAGCGGUGAAAUGCGUAGAUAUCGAGAGGAACACCUGCGGCGAAGGCGGGUUGCUGGGCCGACACUGACGCUGAUGCGCGAAAGCCAGGGGAGCGAACGGGAUUAGAUACCCCGGUAGUCC
RNAcentral lists this ribosomal RNA (810 nucleotides) under uncultured bacterium. Its description in RNAcentral is "bacterial SSU rRNA". It matches the Rfam family "Bacterial small subunit ribosomal RNA", at positions 8 to 796 of the family's 1533-position model. The record is from RNAcentral.